CCCGACUCUCAGCCGUGCCCCCGACCCCCGAGCCAGCGCCACGUUCCAUGCCCCCGACCCGACCAGUUCCGGCGCCACGCUCCAUGCCCCCGACCCGACCAGUUCCGGCGCCACGCUCCAUGCCCCCGACCCGACCAGUUCCGGCGCCACGCUCCAUGCCCCCGACCCGACCAGUUCCGGCCCCACGCUCCAUGCCCCCGACCCGACCAGUACCGGCCCCACGCUCCAUGCCCCCGACUCGGCCAGUCCCCGCUCCGAGACUCAGGCUCCCUCCCUCCCAUCCCAUGGUCCUCUCCCACCCUCCCGUUGGUGAUUUGAGGGCCGUCUGGGAUCCGGCCCUUGAGGGGGGGGCUACGGGGUGGGUUAUGGGGGGGGCUGAGCCGCCGCCAAUUGCGGAGGUGUUCCGUGUCCCCGAGCCGGAGCCGACUACGGAGGUGUUCCGUGUCCCCGAGCCGGAGCCGACUACGGAGGUGUUCCGUGUCCCCGAGCCGGAGCCGCCGACUACCCAGGAGGUGUUCCGUGUCCCCGAGCCGGAGCCGCCGACUACCCAGGAGGUUUCCCGUGUCCCCGAGCCGGCGCCGCCGACUACCCCGGAGGUUUCCCGUGUCCCCGAGCCGGCGCCGCCGACUACCCCGGAGGUUUCCCGUUUCUCAGAGCCUGCCAUUCCUGAGACGUUCCGUGCCCUGUGGUCACCGCUCCGGAGCCGGCGAAAGGACCGCCCGCCGGGCCGACCCCCAGAGGCUCCCCGCUCGUCUGGCCGCCCGCCGGGCCGACCCCCAGAGGCUCCCGGGUGGUCCGACCAACGUCUCGGGUUUCCCUCCCCCCCUCCCCUUGUUUCGCUCUAGUGUGAGCCGCCUGGAAGUCGGCCCUUGAGGGGGGGGUACUGUCACGGUGUGGUUCACUUCCUGUCUUAUUUUGUAGUUUUCUGCCACUCGUGUCCCCGGGUAACUUCACUUCCUGCCUUGUCUCGUCAUCCCCUGUGUUCGUCUAAUAGUUUCCACCUGUGUCCAAUCACCUGCACC
Long non-coding RNA from Gasterosteus aculeatus aculeatus (three-spined stickleback), 1022 nucleotides. The record is from Ensembl. Lineage: Eukaryota; Metazoa; Chordata; Actinopteri; Perciformes; Gasterosteidae.